GACGAACGCUGGCGGCGUGCUUAACACAUGCAAGUCGAACGGAAAGGCCCUGCUUUUGUGGGGUGCUCGAGUGGCGAACGGGUGAGUAACACGUGAGUAACCUGCCCUUGACUUUGGGAUAACUUCAGGAAACUGGGGCUAAUACCGGAUCGGAGCUCCUGCUGCAUGGUGGGGGUUGGAAAGUUUCGGCGGUUGGGGAUGGACUCGCGGCUUAUCAGCUUGUUGGUGGGGUAGUGGCUUACCAAGGCUUUGACGGGUAGCCGGCCUGAGAGGGUGACCGGCGACAUUGGGGCUGAGAUAGGGCCCAGACUCCUACGGGAGGCAGCAGUGGGGAAUAUUGCACAAUGGGCGGAAGCCUGAUGCAGCAACGCCGCGUGCGGGAUGACGGCCUUCGGGUUGUAAACGGCUUUCGCCUGUGACGAAGCGUGAGUGACGGUAAUGGGUAAAGAAGCACCGGCUAACUACGUG
This 468-nucleotide ribosomal RNA is filed under the name uncultured bacterium. Its description in RNAcentral is "partial 16S ribosomal RNA". It matches the Rfam family "Bacterial small subunit ribosomal RNA", at positions 28 to 507 of the family's 1533-position model. The record is from RNAcentral.